GCUGCUGCGACCAGGGAUUUUGUUUAGACGAUACAGGGUUCAAAUCAUCGGGAAUCAGCAUCGGGACACUGAAGCGAAAUAUGAAGAAUCUCUACUGAUUUCACAGGUUUUCUUUUUGAGGUACAAUAUAUCCUCAGGCCAAAUUUAAAUGGACACCUUUACACACGAUUCAAUCUCGAACCAAACAAGACAGCUAAUAAAGUUGUGAAAGCAUUGAAGGUGUGGAAAUUUGAAAACAAGAGGAGGGGGAAAGUAUGGAGUCUUGAGCUUCAUCUUAUGGAACAGAGUGUGAGUAUCUUUUGCCCUCUAACCAACAACUGGUUAUCAGAUAGUUUCUUAGGUUUACAUCUACAAGAGAGGUUUUCGAUUUCCUGGCUUUAGGUGAUGUUACUAGCAGGAAGAA
This is a long non-coding RNA of Papaver somniferum (opium poppy), 403 nucleotides long. RefSeq lists it as uncharacterized. The transcript is spliced from 4 exons. NCBI's taxonomy places the organism in Eukaryota, Viridiplantae, Streptophyta, Magnoliopsida, Ranunculales, Papaveraceae. The record is from RefSeq and is a predicted model, not a curated record.